GGGUCAGUAGGUUGGUCGUGCCACCGGUACGUACUGGUCUCACUGAUCCCUCCUUCCUGAAGAACCGUAAUGGCAUUAAUUUGGUGUUGCGGGGAAACAGGACUGUUACUUUCAAAAAAUUAGAGUGUUUAAAGCAAGCUAACGCUUGAAUACAUUAGCAUGGAAUAAUGAAAUAGGACGAUCGAUCCUAUUUUGUUGGUUUCUAGGAUUGACGUA
This 216-nucleotide ribosomal RNA is filed under the name Glomeromycotina sp. Its description in RNAcentral is "partial small subunit ribosomal RNA". The stretch from base 75 to 216 matches the Rfam family "Eukaryotic small subunit ribosomal RNA", at positions 721 to 864 of the family's 1831-position model. Lineage: Eukaryota; Fungi; Glomeromycota. The record is from RNAcentral.